RNAcentral lists this long non-coding RNA (277 nucleotides) under Phasianus colchicus (ring-necked pheasant). RNAcentral describes it as "lncRNA (ENSPCLG00000003028.1)". The record is from RNAcentral. Lineage: Eukaryota; Metazoa; Chordata; Aves; Galliformes; Phasianidae.
CAGUGAAAGAACAAUCUUUGAAUGAAUGGCAACCAUUCACAUCUCUCCAAACUAAUCUUCAUUCAGAUUUCUUAUGGUAAAUCUGUUAUAUAAGGUACUCAGGAUGCCCCCUGUUGCAUGGUGGAUGGUUGCUCUUCAAACUGUUGUGUCAUUAGGAAUGUCAAUGCAGAGGGCAGAUAUGCUGAAAUCAGGAAAGAUAUCUAAGAAGGCAUUUGAGAGAUCCUUUGUUUAUGAUAAGGAGAAGUUGUACAGUAUCUGCUUCAGCAAAUGGUACUAA